ACUGAGCUCACUUGCCAGGUUUUUUUGGCUUUGCCAUCUCAUUUUCCAGUUUUUACAAAUACUUCUUUCUCCCAGGAGGGUGUAUGAAAGAGCUGCACAGAGCAGACGGCUGCUGCUCCUGCAGGCAGGGAGUGAAUUGUAUGCAUCUGCAGGGCAGCAGUGGAUGUUGGAGAGCAAUAUUUACUUAAUACAUGAGGGACAUUUACACUUCUAGAAAAUUCAGGCUCAUGUAACUUGGCCCAUUGUGUGCUGUGCUGGGCUCAGCCCUGGGGCAUGAGGUCUGUGCUGUGGCUCCUUGGAUGGAAGGGAACUGAACGUGGGUUAACCAGGCUGCUGCCAUCACGCCAGUAUUGGGCAGAAGCUCAGCAGCCAUUAAAUUAAAAAUGAGAAGGAAUGUGUCAACUCUGAUGAUGUUUUCAAAGCUAAGAAGUUGAAAUGAAUAAUUGUGACACUAUAAUUCUACUUCAGUAAUGCUGAAACAUUUUGUCAUACACAGCACAGGCUCCAGAAGUCCCAAAUCCCCAGAAGCUCCAGAAGCCCCAAGAGCUUGCCAUCAAAGUGGAAGACAAGGGUCACCAGAUGGACAGAGACAGAUGGAGAACUGCAAAGAAACCAGGAGACACGACAGACACAAAAGCAUGGAGACCAGGGUACCAGCAUAUGGCUAAAUAUAAUAAUAAAUUCAUUUACAACUAAUACUUGUUGUGGUGAAGGUUACUAGCUCAAACUACCUAGUAAGACUUCUGUGAGCAAUAGUAGACUGUGGUACGCUCUGAAGUUGAAGGCAGCUGUAAAGACUUCCUGUGUGUUUAGAUUUCCCGAGAAACUGUAAGGCAGAAGUGCGAGCAUUAGCUCUUCUCUGGGAGAAGCUAAAGGGACUUAGCACAGCUACAGGACACAGCGUGAAGCCCCUUCAGCAUGCCAGGACUCAGCCUUUUGACUUUCAGCCAUCCCAGUCAGACACUUUCCAAGCCACUGCCUGCACUGGAGCCUGCUGAUGCUCCAGUCCUUGUAAUUUAAGUGCUCCCAGUCAGCCCCUCUGGGAUCCAGAGGUGACGAGGGAAAAAUUACCACAACAGCCUUGCAAAUCUGCCACGCAAGACAGAAACCUUCCAGACCUUGGACCCGACAGUCAGCCCCAUCACUCCUAACUCUGCAGCCAGUCGUGGUUUAACCCCAGCCAGUAACAAAACCCCACACAGCCACUCGCUCACUCCCCUGCAGCAGGAUGGGAGAGAGAAUCAGAAGAGUAAAAGUGAGGAUCCUUAAUAAGUAAAGCAAAAGCUGAGCAUGCAAGCAAAGCAAAAUAAGAAAUUCAUUCACCACUUCCCAUGGACAGGCAGGUGUUCAACCAUCUUCAGGAAAGCCAGGCUCUAUCAUGCGUAAUGGUUAUUUGGGAAGAUAAAUGCCAUCACUCCGAACAUCCUCCCCUUCCUUCUUCUUCCCUCCAAAUAUAUACUGAACAUGAUGCAUGUGGUAUGGAAUAUCCCUUUGGCCAGUUGUGUUCAGCUGUCCUGGCUGUGCCCCGUCCCAGCUUCUUGUGCACUUGGCAGGGCAUGGGAAUUUGAAAAGUCCUUGACUACUUAGCAACAACUAAAACAUUAUCAACAUCAAUCACAUUCUAAAUCCAAAACACAGGACUACACCAGCUACUAGGAAGAAAAUGAACUCUUACUCAGCUGAAACCAGGACACAGCCUGAGGAUACAACAUUCCUCACCCAGCAAGUGAAAGCCCCAGCUGGGACCAGAAGCCUGAGCUGACUCCUGUGCAAGCGCAGCAAGUCAUGCGACUGUGUUCCUGCUAGGACCACCUGUGCUACCAUCAUCACAUGGCAAGGUAGGGCGUGGAUAAAUGGGAGAGCAAGGCAGAGAUGGAGUUGUCAUGACUGGGAGCCAUGCCUACCAUCACUGGGGAAGCUCUGCCAGUCUUAACAGUGGUGAGAGACUUUUGCCAUUUGAGGUAAGUUCUAACAAACAGGUAAGAUUCAUGAAUAAGGAAGCUUCAGAAGGAGCUACAUCCCACCUAAGCAGCUCUCUCCAGUGUGAAGGCAACCAGCCAUGUGGGCAGUCAUGGGUUUGUGAGCACUUUGAUCUGCUCCCGUCAUGUUGAUACAUCUCCUUUCAGUCAUUCCAGGCUGGGCUGGCAGGUCCAAAUAUAGU
Molecule: long non-coding RNA, 2161 nt
Organism: Columba livia (rock pigeon)
Lineage: Eukaryota; Metazoa; Chordata; Aves; Columbiformes; Columbidae
Exons: 6
Source: RefSeq, a predicted model, not a curated record